UUAAAUAAAACCCAAAUUAUGGAAAAAUAUCAUCCAAACUGGCCUUGGCCGCAUGAACAAUAUGGAUGGAUUCUCUCUAAUUCCUCUCCGACCUACUUUAUCGGCGAUUACCGCAUAUGUGUGCCUAAAGAUCUACCGAUAGCGUCCAAAAAUCGGCCAAUUUGGGGUUCAAAAUGGACGGUGUGAAAAUUUGCGACUCCUGUUCUGGCUCAGAAGCAGUGGCAAAUACACUUUCCUCUGUUCCAUUCAACUUCCAAGUUCCAUUCUCUGCUUCUUUUCAAGUUCUACAAUGACUUUCUUAUCGAAGGAAAGAAAAAGGUCUAGAUUUCAAUUUUAAGCACAAUUUUGCAGAGUGGAGCGGAGAGCUAUUCUCACGGUAGGCAUGGCUCUGAAAAUUCUAACGGGUCAGUUUUCAAUCAAAGGUUGAUGGGUCCUUGCAUGUAUAUUUCUGGUUUGGGUUCAUGGUGUUCUGUCUCUCUCCAUGUACAUCAAAUAUUGAUUUGGUUGUUUAGUUUUGCUCAUUUUUGUAUUCCUUCUGAAUGAUUUUAAUUUACGUAUAUAAUAUAAUAGCCCUAUUUGCGUAUGGUAAUGAAACCUGUAAUUAUAUUACAGAUCAAAAGAAUGCUGGUUCUGUUUGUCAAGCCCAGCGUGGAUUCACAUCUAAUAAUUACCACAAGAGAAACAAAGGUCCCGUUGUUCAAGACCAUGUUCUAUUAUUACCAAUUGAGCUACCUAGUACUGUCUUUACCCAACAAUGUGAAUCUGAACUGAAAUUUCUUAACUACACCAAAGUGUUUAUUCUCCCAUCCAAUAAUUAUGUAUUAAUUUAAACUUAAUUUGUGGGACAUACUAUGAUUUUGGCUUAAUUUCAUUCAUUGAUUGGUUGGGUGUACAAUCGGUUCCCUAUACCUGAACUUGUUAGAUUGAGGUAUAGUCUCAAACUAUAUCACAAGGACCAGGGAAAGGAAAAAUGAAAAUCCUUUCUUAAAUAUGUAUCUAGAUGCUUGAUGUACUAGGGAGUGUGAAUUGCUUACAAAGGCCAUAUAUUUUUAAUUGGCAAUUUUAGGAGUAGCUGCUGCUACUGUUAUUUGCCAUUAUCACUCUCUCUUUCUCUCUCUCUCUGGAUUUUCUUGAAAUUUUAAAAUGUACAAGAAUAUUGCUCAAACAUCUUUUCCGUUUAUAUGGGCAUUUGUGGGAUAAGAAUGACAGAAACUUGUUGUUCACAGGUUGUAAAUGAUAGAACAAUAACAUCAAAGAGCCUUCCACUAUUAUUAUUAUGGUAUUUAAGUUAUUUUGUCUUCCUUUUUCUUUUCCAUGUGCUGCUUCUGUUCCAUCACCCAGUCUGGCUACUAGGUUUUAAAUUUGUUGCCAUGAAAUGUAAGUACCAUCAUUCAAGUGUUUUGCGCAUACAUGUUGACUAGACAUUCGUAUGGAACUUUUCUCCUUGGUAAAAAAAUAAUCUGCAAAUGCCAGAGUUUCAAGAAAUGACAUCUAUCUAUUGGCUUAUUUUUCACUUCAAGUUGAAUAGUUCAAUGAAAUUUCAUGUUUCCAAUGUAUAAUAGCAUUGUUGUUUCUCUUGCUGUCACUAGUAUUUCUAAUGGCAGAAAAUGGUUGAGGGACAGUUGGAUAGGAACUAUAGUUUCUUCAUUGUGGAACUCCUUGUUGAUCUGCAUUAUCGUAUUUGGUCAAGAAGAAUAAGGGAUUUCUGGUGCAAUUUGGAUGUGAAGUAAGACACGAUCAUACUAAGUUCAACUGCCAAACAUGAGAUUCUGCUGAUAUUCAUUAUCUAUGUUGGUUUGAAUAACUGAUAUAACUUUAAAAUGUGGUUACAUUCACCAAACAAUGGCAAUGAGCUGUGGUAUUUAUUAAUAAUUAUUAAUUACAUCUAUUAGUUUUCAGCAUAUGCAAAUUAGAUGAAGUUUGUUGACCUUCCGUUAACAAUAUAUCGACAUUUCUUUUUGUUAGAGAUAGGCGAGAGCUUCUAAUAUGCCCAGGGAGAAUCUGUGUUGAUGGAUUUCUUGAAAGAAGACACUUAUAGCUUGAUACUAUAUCGAACUCAAAAUCUUGAGGCACUGGGUUCACUUGUCCUUCCACAUAUGUGUCUUUCGCUCAUCCCAUCUCUUUCUAGCGUCAAAAUUCAACACUUGCAUAUUCCCAAAUACUUCUAUUUGCAAGUAGCCAAACAGUUAGCAUAUCAAACUUUAUAAUAAGGAUGAAAUGAUAUAUUUCGCAUGUUUUAGCAGGAUUGCUGAACAUGCUUGGGAGGGCUGAUUGGAGGACUUGUGAGCUUAGCAAAGAAGAGGAAAUAAAAAUGGUGGAAGAAUUGAAGAAACUUUUGAAGAUUUUGAUCCGACUCAAUGAACUUGGCCAUAAGUCUUGUGCUUGAUGCUGGUACACUAGGUCCUUCAUUUGUGAUGCUACUCUUAUGGUACUUUCACUUGGAUCACACUAGAUCUUUUGGCUUCAUAUACAGCAUGGAUUUGUUGUUGGAGCAGAGUGGAGAACACUUCAGUAUCUGCUAGCAGAUGAGCACCCAUUUAAUCACAUUUCAUGAACUGGAAGAAUUAGGAGUAACCUCUUGCUUUUCGGUUUAUUAAAAAUCCAAGCAAAAGAUGAGGCCUUGACCCAUCCAGGGCAAAGCCGUGCUUUUUUCAUCGUUUCCCUGUUAACUUUCUGAAUUUGGUGCUCAGAUUCAUCUAUACAGCUUAGCAAUUUUGCACUGGAACAAACAAAAUACUGUCUUCGUCCCACAAUUACUGUCAUUUUAGAGAAUUUUUUUGUCCCAAAUUAUCUGUCACUUUGAGAAUAAUUCUAUCUUGCUUUCCAUAUAUAUCCUUAUUAGUCUUUUAAGUCAUUUAAUACUAAUAUAUGAAAAAAGCAUGACCAUCUAACGGUAUUUUAGAUAAAUUAUUAUAAAUUUUUCUAAAAUAAAUGCUCUUAAUUGGUCUUCUUGAUUUGGGUAUAAAAACAUUAAACGACAGAUAUUAUAUGGACGGAGAUAGUAGUAUUUAUUUUGUGUAAACUAAUCACAACGUUCUUACAAAUGUUUGUGAUAUUUUCAGUCGAAUUUGAAACUAAUUGUUGCAUUUUACAAAUGCUCUUGAUCCUGCCCUACUGCAGAGAUGCCUAGAUUUCUGUCUCACUUCGGAUACUAAAUAUAACUCGUUGAUGUAUGAACUCGUUGAAUACUAAAUGCAACUUGUUCUGUGGUGGUGACCUCUACAGUUUGUUGGAUUGUGGGUCACUGCAACUGGGUUGUGUUAAUUGCAGAUCUACAUAGGUCUUGGAAAGUAAUUGCAAAUUUCAGGUUUCAGGUCAGGAUACCUUUCCUGCAUUUUCUGGCCAUCAAAGUUUUGGGGACAUGAAGAUUGUGGUCCUAGGAACCAGGCUUAUAAUGUUAAGUUGCUUGCAGAUAAUGGCACAAAGGGUUACUCUAGCACCUUUGUGGGGGAAAAGUAACAAGCAAAAAUGAAGGGAAGAGUGAGCUACAAGGAUACUGUUGCAUUGGUUCUUACUCUGGUCAAUUGGUGGGCCUGGCCCUUUUAUUUAAGCCUAAGCUUGCAGUAGCACUAAUAAACAAGUUUCAUUGGCGUUGAUACAUCAUACAUGUAAUCUAAUAUAUGUUGCAUAUACGCUUUGGCUUAUUUUGUGGUUUGUUCACGUUGUAAUCAUCUUGGAAAUUAAAAAAGAAGCAUCCUUCUUGUGGAAGAAAUGCUUUUUUUUUUUUCUUUUUUAAUAAUAAUUUAGUUUUUUGUAU
Molecule: long non-coding RNA, 3757 nt
Organism: Manihot esculenta (cassava)
Lineage: Eukaryota; Viridiplantae; Streptophyta; Magnoliopsida; Malpighiales; Euphorbiaceae
Exons: 2
Source: RefSeq, a predicted model, not a curated record